Anguilla rostrata (American eel) is the source of this 1171-nucleotide long non-coding RNA. RefSeq lists it as uncharacterized. NCBI's taxonomy places the organism in Eukaryota, Metazoa, Chordata, Actinopteri, Anguilliformes, Anguillidae. The transcript has 3 exons. The record is from RefSeq and is a predicted model, not a curated record.
CAACCAUGUCAUCUCUGUGCAGAAAUACCUGUUUAUUUUUCAUCAGAACCAUUCCGGAUGCUCACCUGGUACAGAUUUUAAGACUUCUGGGUUCUGCGAUGCGCUGCAACAAGUCCGACAACCACUGAGCACAAACUUAGGUUGCAACAAGUGUCAAGACCAUCUGGAUCCAAGUCCCCAGACCUCCAAGAACACACUGUGAUUGAGCACUGAAGACGAUGGGGAACACAUCUGAAGUCACUUACUUCAUUUUGGCAGCCUAUGGGGAUCUUGGAAAAAUGAAAUAUUUUUAUUUUUGCUGUAUACUUCUUUUGUAUAUCACAAUUCUUUUUGCAAACAUUAUUCUUAUCUCUUUGAUAUAUGUAGAUAGGAGCCUACAUGAGCCCAUGUACGUGUUUCUGUGUAGUUUAUUUAUGAAUGAAUUGCAUGGAAGCACUACCUUCUUUUCUGUGCUGUUACUACAUAUUUUAGCAGACACUCAUGAAAUUGCCAGAGCUUACUGUAACGUGCAGAGUUUUUUCUUGCACGCAUAUGGGACAGCAGAAAUGUAUAAUUUAGCUGUUAUGGCUUAUGACAGGUAUUUGUCCAUCUGCCAUCCAUUACAUUACAGCAGCAGGAUGAAUUCUUGCAAAAUGUACUCACUAAUUGUGUUCACAUGGUCUUUUUCAUUCUUCAAAUUUGUAAUUCCUAUGUCCUUACAAUUACAGUUACCAUUGUGUGGGAAUAUCAUAGACAAUCUGUAUUGUGCCAACUAUGCUUUGGUCAGACUUUCUUGCCAAAACAUAUCUCUAAAUAACAUUUUAGGAGUUUUAAGUUUAGUUUUGAGUGUUGCUGUCCCUUUGAUCCCCAUUUUAUUUUCCUAUGUAAACAUUGUAAGAAUCUGUUAUAAAUCACCCAAAGAGGCUCAGGUCAAAGCUUUAAACACUUGCACUCCCCAAGUAAUAUCACUCCUGUACUUCUCGGUUUCUGCUUUCUUUGAAAUGGCAGAAACCCAGUUUGAAUUGACAUAUGUUCUCCAACUUAUUCGUAACGUUUUUGUGGUGUGCAUAUUUGCUUGUCCUCAAAUUCUUAAUCCAGUCAUGUAUGGAGUCAGGCUGACAAAAAUAAGGAAAGCUUUUAAAAAAAGGUUCUUUCCUAACAGCACUGAGUAAUUGAAACAAAAUAAAGGUUU